This 457-nucleotide ribosomal RNA is filed under the name uncultured bacterium. Its description in RNAcentral is "bacterial SSU rRNA". It matches the Rfam family "Bacterial small subunit ribosomal RNA", at positions 340 to 786 of the family's 1533-position model. The record is from RNAcentral.
UACGGAAGGCAGCAGUGGGGAAUAUUGCACAAUGGGCGAAAGCCUGAUGCAGCUAUGCCGCGUGUAUGAAGAAGGCCUUAGGGUUGUAAAGUACUUUCAUCGGGGAGGAAAAAACAAAACUAAUAAUUUUAUUUCUUGACGUUACCCGAAAAAGAAGCACCGGCUAACUCCGUGCCAGCAGCCGCGGUAAUACGGAGGGUGCUAGCGUUAAUCAGAAUUACUGGGCGUAAAGGGCACGUAGGUGGUUUUUUUAAAGUCAGAUGUGAAAUCCCUGGGCUUAACCUAGGAACUGCAUUUUGAAACUGAAAUACUAGAGUAUCAUAGAGGGAGGUAGAAUUCUAGGUGUAGCGGUGAAAUGCGUAGAUAUCUGGAGGAAUACCUGUGGCGAAAGCGGCCUCCUAAACGAAUACUGACACUGAGGUGCGAAAGCGUGGGGAGCAAACAGGGAUUAGAUACC